GUGCCAGCCGCCGCGGUAAUACGGAGGGUGCAAGCGUUGUCCGGAAUCACUGGGCGUAAAGGGUGCGCAGGCGGGGCAGCAAGUCGGAGGUGAAAGCCCAUGGCUCAACCAUGGAAGUGCCCUCGAAACUGUUGCUCUUGAGUCCCGGAGAGGCUAUCGGAAUUCGUGGUGUAGCGGUGAAAUGCGUAGAUAUCACGAGGAACACCAGAGGCGAAAGCGGGCAGCUGGACGGGUACUGACGCUCAGGCACGAAAGCGUGGGGAGCAAACAGGAUUAGAAACCCGUAGUAGUCC
RNAcentral lists this ribosomal RNA (293 nucleotides) under uncultured bacterium. Its description in RNAcentral is "partial 16S ribosomal RNA". It matches the Rfam family "Bacterial small subunit ribosomal RNA", at positions 505 to 796 of the family's 1533-position model. The record is from RNAcentral.